CUGGAGGUAUCAGAAGUGCGAAUGCUGACAUAAGUAACGAUAAAGCGGGUGAAAAGCCCGCUCGCCGGAAGACCAAGGGUUCCUGUCCAACGUUAAUCGGGGCAGGGUGAGUCGACCCCUAAGGCGAGGCCGAAAGGCGUAGUCGAUGGGAAACAGGUUAAUAUUCCUGUACUUGGUGUUACUGCGAAGGGGGGACGGAGAAGGCUAUGUUGGCCGGGCGACGGUUGUCCCGGUUUAAGCGUGUAGGCUGGUUUUCCAGGCAAAUCCGGAAAAUCAAGGCUGAGGCGUGAUGACGAGGCACUACGGUGCUGAAGCAACAAAUGCCCUGCUUCCAGGAAAAGCCUCUAAGCAUCAGGUAACAUCAAAUCGUACCCCAAACCGACACAGGUGGUCAGGUAGAGAAUACCAAGGCGCUUGAGAGAACUCGGGUGAAGGAACUAGGCAAAAUGGUGCCGUAACUUCGGGAGAAGGCACGCUGAUAUGUAGGUGAAGCGACUUGCUCGUGGAGCUGAAAUCAGUCGAAGAUACCAGCUGGCUGCAACUGUUUAUUAAAAACACAGCACUGUGCAAACACGAAAGUGGACGUAUACGGUGUGACGCCUGCCCGGUGCCGGA
Molecule: ribosomal RNA, 615 nt
Filed under: Escherichia coli
Lineage: Bacteria; Pseudomonadati; Pseudomonadota; Gammaproteobacteria; Enterobacterales; Enterobacteriaceae
Also listed under: 2 other names
Description: partial 23S ribosomal RNA
Rfam family: Bacterial large subunit ribosomal RNA
Source: RNAcentral